RNAcentral lists this ribosomal RNA (472 nucleotides) under uncultured bacterium. Its description in RNAcentral is "partial 16S ribosomal RNA". It matches the Rfam family "Bacterial small subunit ribosomal RNA", at positions 28 to 507 of the family's 1533-position model. The record is from RNAcentral.
GACGAACGCUGGCGGCGUGCUUAACACAUGCAAGUCGAACGCUGAAGCUUGGUGCUUGCACUGGGUGGAUGAGUGGCGAACGGGUGAGUAAUACGUGAGUAACCUGCCCUUGACUCUGGGAUAAGCCUGGGAAACUGGGUCUAAUACUGGAUACGACAUGCCACUGCAUGGUGGUGUGUGGAAAGGGUUUUACUGGUUUUGGAUGGGCUCACGGCCUAUCAGCUUGUCGGUGGGGUAAUGGCCUACCAAGGCGACGACGGGUAGCCGGCCUGAGAGGGUGACCGGCCACACUGGGACUGAGACACGGCCCAGACUCCUACGGGAGGCAGCAGUGGGGAAUAUUGCACAAUGGGCGGAAGCCUGAUGCAGCGACGCCGCGUGAGGGAUGACGGCCUUCGGGUUGUAAACCUCUUUCAGCGCGGAAGAAGCGAGAGUGACGGUACGUGCAGAAGAAGCGCCGGCUAACUACGUG